RNAcentral lists this non-coding RNA (84 nucleotides) under Pelosinus sp. UFO1. RNAcentral's name for it is "Cyclic di-GMP-II riboswitch aptamer". It matches the Rfam family "Cyclic di-GMP-II riboswitch aptamer". The record is from Rfam by way of RNAcentral. Lineage: Bacteria; Bacillati; Bacillota; Negativicutes; Selenomonadales; Sporomusaceae. RNAcentral also lists the same sequence under 1 other name.
AGGAUGGGAUUAAGCAAUGAAUGUCAGCCUGUAUGUGGACACUUGGGCUGUCAGGAGCUGGUAGUGUAACCGGGAUCUCUUUUU